Molecule: ribosomal RNA, 826 nt
Filed under: uncultured eukaryote
Lineage: Eukaryota
Description: SSU rRNA
Rfam family: Eukaryotic small subunit ribosomal RNA
Source: RNAcentral
UCGGUGUCAACUGGCGUGUUCGCGGGACGUCCUGCCGGGUGGGCUUAGCCGUCGGCGGCGCCUCCCUCCGGGGCGGCGUCGUUGGGCGGCGGUCCAACUUUUCAAUCCCACCGCGGUGCUCUUCGUCGGGUGUCGAGGUGGGCCGGCACGUUUACUUUGAACAAAUUAGAGUGCUUAAAGCAGGCUAAAAUCUCGCCUGAAUACUGUGUGCAUGGAAUAAUGGAAUAGGACCUCGGUUCUAUUUUGUUGGUUUUCGGAACCCCGAGGUAAUGAUUAAUAGGAACGGAUGGGGGCAUUCGUAUUGCGACGUUAGAGGUGAAAUUCUUGGAUCGUCGCAAGACGAACAAACGCGAAAGCAUUUGCCAAAAACGCUUUCAUUGAUCAAGAACGAAAGUUAGAGGUUCGAAGGCGAUCAGAUACCGCCCUAGUUCUAACCAUAAACGAUGCCAGCUAGCGAUCCGCCGACGUUCCUCCGAUGACUCGGCGGGCAGCUUCCGGGAAACCAAAGCUUUUGGGUUCCGGGGGAAGUAUGGGUUUGCAAAGCUGAAACUUAAAGGAAUUGACGGAAGGGCACCACCAGGAGUGGAGCCUGCGGCUUAAUUUGACUCAACACGGGAAAACUCACCAGGCCCGGACACCGGAAGGAUUGACAGAUUGACAGCUCUUUCUUGAUUCGGUGGGUGGUGGUGCAUGGCCGUUCUUAGUUGGUGGAGCGAUUUGUCUGGUUAAUUCCGAUAACGAACGAGACUCUAGCCUGCUAAAUAGGCGUUAUAUCGACAUCUCAAAGGCCCGCCGGCCAUCGGCGUUCUGCGUCGUGGUCGCGCGU